Manis javanica (Malayan pangolin) is the source of this 590-nucleotide non-coding RNA. The record is from RefSeq and is a predicted model, not a curated record. NCBI's taxonomy places the organism in Eukaryota, Metazoa, Chordata, Mammalia, Pholidota, Manidae.
GGAAAAGGAAGUGACUGGCUCAGGAAACCAGGAUGUGAACAAGGCCAGAUACCCUGAUAACUCAAUAGCAAAAGCCCUUUGUUCUGUCUUUAGUACUCUUUAUCCAACCCAGAGUAAAAAAAAUCUCAGAAAAUCAGGCCUCAUAGGGGAGGAACUGAGGCUGUUUUCCAGAUGUCAGAGAAGAAAGUGCUGCAGAAGUCGUGGAGGAGUAUCACCUGCUUCUCUGUUGUCCCACACAAAGGGUUCUACUUCCACAGGCUGCAGAAGCACAGGCCUGCAUGAUAGAAACCAAGCUCAAAAGGGUUCAUCCAGGAGCAGUAAAAGGAAAAUGGAAUUUGCCGUGUUCUGUGGAUUCUAGUCCUGAUAGUCACCAACAAUUCUGUGACUUUGGGUCUGAACUGGAAUCCUGCCAGGAAUGAGCCAACUGCCCCAGCUAUCAUCACCACCACCCACAUUACCUGCUCCUACCUAACAUGCCCCGCCCCAUAUAUACAUAUACAGACAUGUGCACAGGAUUUUCCUUGAAUAAUGAGGCCCCAUUUAUUGUUCUGGCCAUAAUGCUUGUCCUGAAGAAGCAUCUAAAAUCCUGC